RNAcentral lists this ribosomal RNA (315 nucleotides) under Triticum aestivum (bread wheat). Its description in RNAcentral is "partial small subunit ribosomal RNA". Lineage: Eukaryota; Viridiplantae; Streptophyta; Magnoliopsida; Poales; Poaceae. The record is from RNAcentral.
AUGUUUGUGAAAAUUUUAUUUGCAUUCUACAGGAUUUGGAUACUUCUUACUCCCUCCGUUCCACAAUGUAGUGCGUAUAUAUUUUUGAAAAGUCAAAGUUUGCUAAGUAUGACUUUCAAAAAAAUCUAUAUGCACAACAUUGUGGAACGGAGGGAGUACUAUUUAUUUCUGCACCUACCUGUAGGUUACUCUAUCAUACUAGAUAUCUUUGUGUUUCAAGAGCUUGUAUUCAAAUUUCUGAAGGGCGUAUUUUCCCCCCACGCUAGAGGAAUAUAUAUUGGCGUAUUUGGGACUCAACUAACUUUAAUCCCGUAG